AAGAGGAAGAGGCGCCGUUUCGAGUCUCCAAGACUACACUUGUUGUUUAAAAAAAAACAUAUUUUGUGGGCCCGCAGGUACAGCCGGCGUAGAAACAACAAAAGUGGGUGCACACCGGACGAGUGCAGUGCCGUGUCCUGGACAACUCACAGAAGUAAAUCAGUGAAGGACGAUGACAUCUGUUGAGGAGCUGCUUGUGAACACACUGCAGGAACUGGUAACAGCUGAUCUGAAGGAGGUUUCAGUGGUACUUAAAGAAUGAUGGGGCUGUUCCAGCUUCUGUGAUGGAGAAUGCAGAUAUCUUAAAGACAGUGGAUACGAUGGUGGAACGCUUUGGACCAAAAGAAGCUUUGAAACUGGCACUGACAAUCCUGAGGAAGAUGAACCAGAACUACCUGGCUGAACAGUUAGAGAAAAAAAAUCUGUCUGCAAAAAAUCUGAAAGAUGAGCUUAA
Molecule: long non-coding RNA, 454 nt
Organism: Labeo rohita (rohu)
Lineage: Eukaryota; Metazoa; Chordata; Actinopteri; Cypriniformes; Cyprinidae
Exons: 3
Source: RefSeq, a predicted model, not a curated record